This 78-nucleotide small RNA is filed under the name Flavobacterium sp. KMS. RNAcentral describes it as "Flavo-1 RNA". It matches the Rfam family "Flavo-1 RNA". Lineage: Bacteria; Pseudomonadati; Bacteroidota; Flavobacteriia; Flavobacteriales; Flavobacteriaceae. The record is from Rfam by way of RNAcentral.
ACCUAGCCCUGAUGGGAACGGCAUCCUUUUUCUGGCUUCUUUAGCCAGGAAAAGAUACAGUGGACGACAGGAAAUAGC